Molecule: ribosomal RNA, 506 nt
Filed under: uncultured bacterium
Lineage: Bacteria
Description: partial 16S ribosomal RNA
Rfam family: Bacterial small subunit ribosomal RNA
Source: RNAcentral
AUUGAACGCUGGCGGCAUGCCUUACACAUGCAAGUCGAACGGCAGCACAGGAGAGCUUGCUCUCUGGGUGGCGAGUGGCGGACGGGUGAGGAAUACAUCGGAAUCUACCUUUUCGUGGGGGAUAACGUAGGGAAACUUACGCUAAUACCGCAUACGACCUUAGGGUGAAAGCGGAGGACCUUCGGGCUUCGCGCGGAUAGAUGAGCCGAUGUCGGAUUAGCUAGUUGGCGGGGUAAAGGCCCACCAAGGCGACGAUCCGUAGCUGGUCUGAGAGGAUGAGCAGCCACACUGGAACUGAGACACGGUCCAGACUCCUACGGGAGGCAGCAGUGGGGAAUAUUGGACAAUGGGCGCAAGCCUGAUCCAGCCAUGCCGCGUGGGUGAAGAAGGCCUUCGGGUUGUAAUGCCCUUUUGUUGGGAAAGAAAAGCAGUCGGUUAAUACCCGAUUGUUCUGACGGUACCCAAAGAAUAAGCACCGGCUAACUUCGUGCCAGCCGCCGCCGUAA